GCAUUUCUUGUGCAUCGCGCGUUUGCACACGAACCACGCCGCAGGGUCUUCUUUAGCAACACGCACAGGCUCUGCAAGGGCAGGGCAACUGAUGCGGGGAAAGGCCCUUUGGACAUGAAAAGUUGGAAACCGGCUGGAGCGUGGGACGCCGCUGCGACGUCUCGUGAGCGAGCCAAGGUAGCGCUGCCUUCUGGAGGGGGGCGGGAUAAGGACAACUCGCAGGCCGCGAGAGAAGGUGAUUCCGAGACUACUGGUUCGAGUCGCGGCUUGCGGCAGGACGGCGUGCGCUCCUCCGCUCCAGGGCGACGGGCGCUCAGGAAAUCGCGUCAGGGCCGGCAUCCGCCUGCUCUUGUUGGUGCAAUGCAAGCAAGCAAGCCCUCUCGCCGGCUGGCCCUGCCUCCUUAGCCGUCUUCUCCGCACGAGGGGCCGGGGACAGCUCAUGUUAUUGAAAUAAAUUGUGUGUCAUGGAUGAUGCUGCUUUGUCACUUGGAGCGAUAGAUGUUUCUUAUUCGUCAUCAUCAGCAGAAUGCACUGUAUCUAGAUGUAAACACUCCAGUGAAGAAUGGGGCGAAUGCAAUUCUAGGCCUACUGUUUUUCGAUCAGCUACUUUGAAAUGGAAGGAAACUCUGCUGGGCAGGAACAGACCAUUUGUGGGACGUUGUUGCUAUGUAUGCACUCCCCAAAGCCGG
This is a long non-coding RNA of Sphaerodactylus townsendi, 689 nucleotides long. RefSeq lists it as uncharacterized. The record is from RefSeq and is a predicted model, not a curated record. The transcript is spliced from 3 exons. Lineage: Eukaryota; Metazoa; Chordata; Lepidosauria; Squamata; Sphaerodactylidae.